Molecule: ribosomal RNA, 470 nt
Filed under: uncultured bacterium
Lineage: Bacteria
Description: bacterial SSU rRNA
Rfam family: Bacterial small subunit ribosomal RNA
Source: RNAcentral
ACUCCUACGGGAGGCAGCAGUGGGGAAUAUUGCACAAUGGGGGAAACCCUGAUGCAGCCAUGCCGCGUGUGUGAAGAAGGCCUUCGGGUUGUAAAGCACUUUCAGUAGGGAGGAAGGUAGUGUAGUUAACACCUGCAUUAUUUGACGUUACCUACAGAAGAAGCACCGGCUAACUCAGUGCCAGCAGCCGCGGUAAUACGGAGGGUGCGAGCGUUAAUCGGAAUUACUGGGCGUAAAGCGCAUGCAGGCGGCCUGUUAAGUCAGAUGUGAAAGCCCGGGGCUUAACCUCGGAAUUGCAUUUGAAACUGGCAGGCUAGAGUCUUGUAGAGGGGUUAGAAUUUCAGGUGUAGCGGUGAAAUGCGUAGAGAUCUGAAGGAAUACCAGUGGCGAAGGCGGCCCCUGGACAAGACUGACGCUCAGAUGCGAAAGCGUGGGAGCAAACAGGAUUAGAUACCCCUGGUAGACUGUCA